RNAcentral lists this ribosomal RNA (492 nucleotides) under uncultured bacterium. RNAcentral describes it as "partial 16S ribosomal RNA". It matches the Rfam family "Bacterial small subunit ribosomal RNA", at positions 29 to 507 of the family's 1533-position model. The record is from RNAcentral.
AGUGAACGCUGGCGGUAGGCCUAACACAUGCAAGUCGAACGGCAGCACAGUAAGAGCUUGCUCUUACGGGUGGCGAGUGGCGGACGGGUGAGGAAUACAUCGGAAUCUACUUUUUCGUGGGGGAUAACGUAGUGAAACUUACGCUAAUACCGCAUACGACCUACGGGUGAAAGCAGGGGAUCUUCGGACCUUGCGCGAUUGAAUGAGCCGAUGUCGGAUUAGCUAGUUGGCGGGGUAAAGGCCCACCAAGGCGACGAUCCGUAGCUGGUCUGAGAGGAUGAUCCGCCACACUGGAACUGAGACACGGUCCAGACUCCUACGGGAGGCAGCAGUGGGGAAUAUUGGACAAUGGGCGCAAGCCUGAUCCAGCCAUACCGCGUGGGUGAAGAAGGCCUUCGGGUUGUAAAGCCCUUUUGUUGGGAAAGAAAAGCAGCAGGUUAAUACCCCGCUGUUCUGACGGUACCCAAAGAAUAAGCACCGGCUAACUUCGUG